Molecule: long non-coding RNA, 176 nt
Organism: Sander lucioperca (pikeperch)
Lineage: Eukaryota; Metazoa; Chordata; Actinopteri; Perciformes; Percidae
Exons: 3
Source: RefSeq, a predicted model, not a curated record
UACAACCAAGGUGAAAGUUUAGCGUCAGACAUUCUGGUUGCAAAAGAUGGCUUAACCCACAAGUGCUGACUGUUUGCUGAAAGGAUGAAUGCGUGUCCCACCUGUAGCUGCAGGUUUGUAUGUGUCAACUCUUCAGCUUUCUUCUCCAGCGAUGACACCCACACUUUCCUCUUCUG